RNAcentral lists this ribosomal RNA (235 nucleotides) under uncultured bacterium. Its description in RNAcentral is "partial 16S ribosomal RNA". It matches the Rfam family "Bacterial small subunit ribosomal RNA", at positions 29 to 293 of the family's 1533-position model. The record is from RNAcentral.
AACGAACGCUGGCGGCAGGCUUAACACAUGCAAGUCGAACGCACCGCAAGGGUGAGUGGCAGACGGGUGAGUAACGCGUGGGAACCUACCCUUUGGUUCGGAAUAACUCAGGGAAACUUGAGCUAAUACCGGGAUAAGCCCUUCGGGGAAGAUUUAUCGCCAUAGGAUGGGCCCGCGUCGGAUUAGCUAGUUGGUAGGGUAAUGGCCUACCAAGGCAACGAUCCGUAGCUGGUCU